CGUCAAGUAGAAAAUUGUAAACAUUGCCUCCGCUUAGAAACUUCAAAUCCACGAAUCAUGAGACCAAAAACCAACACUCAAACUCGGAAAGCGUAGCAAGCGUACCCAGACGAGACGUCAGCAACACGAAUGUCCAACGUGGAUGCAAUCUUGGAUCAAAACCAAAGAUGAAAUAUUCAAUAAAGUGAAAUAUGAAUACAAAAACACACAUAAUGUUUACUCAUCACACAGUCCCAGUCGAAAUGCUGUUGCUAGGUGAACAUUAGGAGUACGGUGGGAUAGUGCGAGAAGAAGCGAGAGCAAGUUGUUACCUACUUAUAGACUUGGACUCGAACUGAAAGAAAUUUAAUCAGAUACCCCCUUUCCUUGUUUUAGAGGGAUUGCGAUCAAGUAGCUUGACUUGAGAUAAAACAGACAUUUAAAUAUAUAUUUAUUCAUGUGCAUAAUGUGUGUUUUAAUUUGUCCAGUACUUAAUGUAAUGGAAGUGCUGAAUAUUUACUUCAGUCAAAUAAAUGUUAAUGU
Molecule: long non-coding RNA, 522 nt
Organism: Dreissena polymorpha
Lineage: Eukaryota; Metazoa; Mollusca; Bivalvia; Myida; Dreissenidae
Exons: 2
Source: RefSeq, a predicted model, not a curated record